Molecule: ribosomal RNA, 259 nt
Filed under: uncultured bacterium
Lineage: Bacteria
Description: partial 16S ribosomal RNA
Rfam family: Bacterial small subunit ribosomal RNA
Source: RNAcentral
UACGGGGGGGCAAGCGUUGUUCGGAAUUACUGGGCGUAAAGGGCUCGUAGGCGGCCAACUAAGUCAGACGUGAAAUCCCUCGGACUUAACCGGGGAACUGCAUCUGAUACUGGAUGGCUUGAGUUCGGGAGAGGGAUGCGGAAUUGCCAGGUGUAGCGGUCGAAAUGGCGUAGAUAUCAGGAGGAACACCUGCGGUGUGAGACGGCUUACUGGACCAUAACUGACGCUGGAGGCACGAAAGCGUGGGUAGCAAACAGGA